GGACGAACGCUGGCGGCGUGCUUAACACAUGCAAGUCGAGCGGUAAGGCCCCUUCGGGGGUACACGAGCGGCGAACGGGUGAGUAACACGUGGGUGACCUGCCCUCAGCUCUGGGAUAAGCCUGGGAAACUGGGUCUAAUACCGGAUAUGGCUCCAUGACGCAUGUCGUGGGGUGGAAAGCCUUGUGCGGCUGGGGAUGGGCCCGCGGCCUAUCAGCUUGUUGGU
This 225-nucleotide ribosomal RNA is filed under the name uncultured bacterium. RNAcentral's name for it is "partial 16S ribosomal RNA". It matches the Rfam family "Bacterial small subunit ribosomal RNA", at positions 27 to 253 of the family's 1533-position model. The record is from RNAcentral.